This is a non-coding RNA of Ciona intestinalis (vase tunicate), 46 nucleotides long. NCBI's taxonomy places the organism in Eukaryota, Metazoa, Chordata, Ascidiacea, Phlebobranchia, Cionidae. The record is from Rfam.
AAAACGGCUCUUUUCAGAGCCACCUAUUUAUACAAAGAGAUGAAGU